RNAcentral lists this ribosomal RNA (436 nucleotides) under Pholcus opilionoides. RNAcentral describes it as "partial 16S ribosomal RNA". It matches the Rfam family "Bacterial large subunit ribosomal RNA", at positions 1849 to 2624 of the family's 2925-position model. The record is from RNAcentral. Lineage: Eukaryota; Metazoa; Arthropoda; Arachnida; Araneae; Pholcidae.
CNNGAGAUNCCUGCUCAGUGNCGGGAGUAAAUAGCCGCAGCUACUACUGUGCUAAGGUAGCAUAAUAAUUUGCUUCUUAAUUAGAAGAUAGAAUGAAAGGUUUCACAUUUAAAAUCUGUUUCUUCUAGAUAAAUAAACUUAAGAAAGAAGUAAAAACUCUUCUAUAAAAUAGUGGGACGACAAGACCCUGACGAACUUAAUAUUUAGUUGGGGAAACAAAUCAAAAAAUCUUUAAUUAUUAUUAAUACUAAACUUUAAAAUAAAAUUAUGACUAGUUACUGCAGGGAUAACAGCGUUAUUUAUCUUUAGAGACCUUAUCCAAAGAUAAGAUUACGACCUCGAUGUUGAAUUAACCAUCCUAUUUUACGCAACAGUUAAAUUAAGGUAGUCUGUUCGACUAUUAAAAGGUUACAUGAUCUGAGUUCAAAACCGGAGA